Molecule: ribosomal RNA, 579 nt
Filed under: uncultured bacterium
Lineage: Bacteria
Description: partial 16S ribosomal RNA
Rfam family: Bacterial small subunit ribosomal RNA
Source: RNAcentral
UGGGGAAUUUUGGACAAUGGGCGAAAGCCUGAUCCAGCAAUGCCGCGUGUGUGAAGAAGGCCUUCGGGUUGUAAAGCACUUUUGUCCGGAAAGAAAUCCUUGGCUCUAAUACAGUCGGGGGAUGACGGUACCGGAAGAAUAAGCACCGGCUAACUACGUGCCAGCAGCCGCGGUAAUACGUAGGGUGCAAGCGUUAAUCGGAAUUACUGGGCGUAAAGCGUGCGCAGGCGGUUUGCUAAGACCGAUGUGAAAUCCCCGGGCUCAACCUGGGAACUGCAUUGGUGACUGGCAGGCUAGAGUAUGGCAGAGGGGGGUAGAAUUCCACGUGUAGCAGUGAAAUGCGUAGAGAUGUGGAGGAAUACCGAUGGCGAAGGCAGCCCCCUGGGCCAAUACUGACGCUCAUGCACGAAAGCGUGGGGAGCAAACAGGAUUAGAUACCCUGGUAGUCCACGCCCUAAAACGAUGUCAACUAGUUGUUGGGGAUUCAUUUCCUUAGUAACGUAGCUAACGCGUGAAGUUGACCGCCUGGGGAGUACGGUCGCAAGAUUAAAACUCAAAUGAAUUGACGGGGUCAUAGCG